Molecule: long non-coding RNA, 9989 nt
Organism: Alexandromys fortis (reed vole)
Lineage: Eukaryota; Metazoa; Chordata; Mammalia; Rodentia; Cricetidae
Exons: 4
Source: RefSeq, a predicted model, not a curated record
GCGGCACAUGGGCGGAUGCAGCUCCUUAUAUACAGCUCAGUCACCAUGGGGAUGGGCCUUGGCCUUUUCCUGUUGGUCCAGACCCCUCUGUCUGCCCAGAGAAGCCGUGACAGGAGAGUGGUGAUUGGUGCAAGCGACAUGGUAUGAGGAAAUGGAUUAAGGUGCCAUUCUUCUGCUAUUUAGAAAGCCUCCAUUAUCAGCGAGGAUCAUCUAGAAAAAGGCUCUGAGCUGCAGACCACUGAACAUUUGCUGGAUAAAAAUUCAGAGAAAUCUACAGAUCUCUUGGCUUUUUAAAUUCGUGUGCGUCCAGCAAAGGCAGAAGAGAGCCUGGGUCUGUUUCCGAGGUGAGGCUGACGCAGGAUUCGGUUACAUCGUGAGUGGCUUGGACGUGGCGAUGUGUGCACGCUGCCCGGCUCUUCUUUGUCUGAGCUCCCCGGCCUUCUGCCAGCUUGGCAGGCACAAAACCUCGAGAAAAUUCAGCUGCGCCGCCAUCUGCUGGACGUUUGAAGACACUGCAGGAACCCGUAGGUUGAACAAAGGUGGUUGGGGUUGUCAGUGAAGACCUAGCUUUUUGCCCAGGAACUAGUGCCAAGGCAAGGAUACAUUCCGUCUGCUCAUCCAAAAACAAACAAACAAACGAAAAAACACUAAACAGACCCUUUGCUAGAAAGGAGUCUCCGUGUUGAGAAGCACUUGGAUCUGAACGAACUGGGAUUGAUGGCCACACGAGAAAGCCCAGGGCUGCUAUGGAAAGGCAGAAUCUCUUCAUCCAUGCUGGGCACUAGCUAAAAACUAAAACGUUGUUUUCCAUCGCUGCACACAGGGGGUUUCGGGGACAGAAGUCACAUUGCCCUUGUUCUCCUGAGCGGACUGCUUUUGCUAAAUGGAAAUGAUUCAAAAGGUGAACGGUGGCAGAAACAAAAAUCGAUCUGGGGGCUGGAAGGUGCUCAGAUGUAGCCCUGGCGGGGUUUGAUACGAGAUCGAGAAACCCUGCCACCAUUUUCCAACCUCUAGAGUCACUUCUGAUUCACUUGAAGAUUUUUCUAUUUAGCAGCUGCAGACCCUUUUCACACGAGGGACUGACCCCAUUUGCAAAUACAUUUAUAUAUGUGCUUUCAAAGAAACAUUGUUUGUUUGAAGCGGUUAUUGAAACAGUCCAUCCAGCAGUGUUACAACGCUGCUAUAACCCGCACGGCACUCUGAAGUCUCUUGGGGAACUGGCCAACAGCAGAAUGAAGACCAGGGUCAGACGUGCCCACCCACCUGGGAAAAGCGGGUUCCACGGCAGAAGCCUUAGUAAUGGAAACACAUUAACAAAACAUAGCUCUGACCCCACGUUGCUAUUAACAAAAGCUUUUGUAAUCUGGAAUGAGCUUUCAGUGUUUUUCCUGAAAGAGAUGAAAUGGCUUGAUCAACCAUGUAGCCUACAGGAGCCUGGCUGAUUACAAAAUCCUUGGGGUCCAUGUCAGGUGACUUCCAUAUUCAGUGUGUUCUAAGGGCCUCCUACAUUUCUUCAAUAACUAAGCCCUCCAGGGGAGAGACUGUCUGGUCCUACUUUUAGAAAAGGUAGCCGUCUCCAGAGUGCUUGGAGAAGAUACUACAGCAACCAAGGAAACAAAGAAAUGAAAGUUCCCUAUAGCAAGUCCUGGAUGGACUGUGUCAGAAAAUGGAGCAUGGUUUUGUCGAUUUUUUAUAGUAUUUAUUUACUGUGUGUACAGUGUUCUGCUUGCACACCAAGUGAGGGCGCCAGAUCUCACUAUAGAUGAAAAACAGCCAGUGCUUUGAACCUCUGAGCCAUAUCUCCGCCCCUUGUUGAUUUUUUAAAAUUUAAAUAACAUUUUUUUCCAUUUAUUUUACAUACUGGCUGCAGUUUCUUCUUCCUCCUCUUCUCACACCUCCCCCCAUUUGUUUUUUAAAGUCUUUCUAUGUAGCUCUGGCUUGGGACACUAUUGCUUCAGCCUCGCAAAUUAUUAUACACACAUAUACACAUAUAUCCAUAUAUGCAUAUCUCACAUAUAUGUGCACAUAUCUUGUCUAACUAUAUAAAUUAUGCACUUUAUAUAAAUUCUUUAUUCUAUGUAUCAUAUAGAGGACAGCAACUGCACAGUGAUCUUGAAAGUGGCUGAUUUUGUGCCGUGGGAGGAUGGAGCAGAGAGAGGCAGCCAGAAAACCUGAAAGGGGAAAAGAUUAUCCUGACAGCCGGAGACCUCAGAAAACCAGCGGUGUUUCUGUGGACGGCAAGAAGCUAUCAGAGGAACAGAAACCCUCAGGGGCAUUCCACUGUGGGCUGCCUGGGUUCUUUCCACGUAUGGGAAUAAAUACAGUUAUUAAAUAGACACUGCUAGCCAGGCAGUGGUGGCACGCGCCUUUAAUUCCAGCAUGCAGGAGACAGAGGCAGGUGGAUCUCUGAGUUCAAGGCUAGCCUGGUCUACACAGUGGAUUCCAGGACAACCAGGGCUAAUCACAGAAACCCUGUUUCGAAAAACAAAAACAAACAAAUGAAUAAAUAAAUAUUGCUAUAAGUAGAGAAGGAUCCAGACUCUAGAGUAUCGUACACUUGCUGGAAUAAUAGUGCAGAUAACUGAAAAUUUGAGGUGUUUUUAAUUCUCUUCAACACUUUUACCCAUGUGCCCUAAAGGGACAGGGAGGAGAGGGAUUUUGUUGUUUCUUUUUGAUGUGGGGCUCAAACCUAGGACCUUACAUGAUCAGCAAGCGCCACUGACCUCUCUCCAUCUGAAAUGGCUUUUUUUCCUUUAAAGGUUUCAUUUUAUUAUUUAUUCACCUGUUGAACACUCUAAAACUGGAGUUACAGAUGGUUGUGAGCCCCCAUGUGGGUGCUGGGAAUCGAACUCGUCCUCUGGAAGAGCAUCCAGUGCUCUUAGCUGCUGACCUGUUUCUCCAGGCCCCAGAAGUGCUUCUUGAUACCAGGAAAGGUAGCAGGUUUGAGGAAGAAGACUGAAUCCAAACGCAUCGAAUUUGGGGAACAUACAGGGCUGAUCAGAACUAAGUCAAAUGACAUCACAUGUGAUUUCAGAGAUGAAAGGUGAUUAUGUGGCUGGUUAUUUUCCAAAAUGGAGCUAGCGAAGCCAAGCCUGGUGGGAUAGGCUUCUAGUCUCAGCUACUAGGGAGGCUGAGGCAGCGUUGUAGGGUAUCCACCAGAGAACACUGCUCAGACAUUGAUUUGAGCCAAUAGAAAAUCUUUAUUAGCAACCUGGCUACUAUACUGAAUUUUUGCUUUUGUUUUUCGAGACAGGGUUUCUCUGUAGCUUUGGAGCCUGACCUAGAACUAACUAGCUCUUGUAGACCAGGCUGGCCUCUGCCUCCUGAGUGCUGGGAUUAAAAGCAUGCGUCACCACCACCCGGCUCAUACUGGAUAUUUGGGAUCCCAGUGUAGCGCCAAGCCUUUCUCAGGGUGAGCAGUUGAGCACAAAAACCUUGUCCUGAGUUGACAUACUUCAUUUAGCAAGAACAGUUAGCCAGAAACAGAACCACAGAAGCCAAAAGGCAAGGUUUAUACAUUUAGAGACUUUCCUAGAACUAAGUAUGGACUUUGAUGGAUUAGGUCUUUGUUUUUGCUUUGGCAGGUGGUGCUGUCUAUGUGCUGAGAUUUUUUUUUUUUUAAUUAUUUAUUAUGUAUACAACAUUCUGCCUCAAUGUAUGCCCGCACGCCAGAAGAGGGCGCCAGAUCUCAGUACAGAUGGUUGUGAGCCACCAUGUGGUUGCUGGGAAUUGAACUCAGGACCUCUGGAAGAGCAGCCAGUGCUCUUAACCUCUGAGCCAUCUCUCCAGCCCCUAUGUGCUGAGUUUUAUGGCCUGCAUGGUUCUUCCAUCAUGGAAUCAAUUGUGUUGAGGUCUGGGGCCCUGUUACAGCAGGAGAUCUCAAGUUCAAGACCUGCCUGGCCACAGAGACCAGAGCUAGUGCGGUCUAUGCAAAUUCCUAACAAAUGCUGCUCCGCUAAAGAAGGCAUCUUUUAAGGACUAUACUGGGUGGACUGGAUGUGGGCUCAGUUGGUAGAGAGUUUGCCUGGCAUGCAAGAAGGUGUGGGUUUGAGCCCCAACAUCACACAAGCUACGAACACUGGCACACAGUUGGAGUAAGGCAAAGGAGUUUAAGGCCAUCCUUGGCUACACAGUGAAUUCAAGUCUAGCUUGGUCUAUAGAGUGAGAAAAAUAAGAAAAAUGGACAAAAGCCCACUUAUUUUCUGCGGUUUUGAUAAAACACAUCCUUUGUACCACAAUAAAUAAAUAUACAAAUGUCAUUGUGAUGGUUAAUGCUAAAUGUCAACUAGGUAGAAUCUAUAGUCACCUAGAAGAUAGGUCUGCUGGUAUGCCUCUGGAGGGUUAUCUUGGUUGCUUUGAUGUAGGAAGGCCAACCCACUGUGUGUGUGUGUGUGUGUGUGUGUGUGUGUGUGUGUGUGGGUCCAUUCCCUGGCGGGAUCCUGGACUGUGUAAGUGGAGAAAAGGAACCAAGCAGCAGCCUGCAUUCAUUGCUUUUUCCUGACUGUGCAUGCAAUGAUGCAAUGUCCCCCUGUUUCAGGCUCCUGCGAUCUGGACUUCUGGGACACGAUGGAUUGUUUUGUGUGUGUGUGUGUGUGUGUGUGUGUGUGUGUGUGUGUGUGUGAUCUCUGCAAACACUGUCCCUGGGAGGCAAGAAGAAAGUCUGCUUUAACAGGAUUCAAACUUCCAGGGUCUGACCCAGGGCAGUUUAUUUCAGGCAUGUUUGUGUACAGUACAAUUUAGAAAAAAGUUUUCUCAUGUGACACAAUCCUGUGUGCAUAAUAAAACUCUUCAGGUACAUGUCACCGUAAGGAUGUGUUCUGUGGAUAGACUGCAUGUGACAUCUUACAGGCUGGGAGGAUCUGGUGUGAUGUCAGUCAUACAGAUAGAGCAGAGGUCACCUUGUUAACAUUUCGGCCUUCUGGGCUGAAAACAGUUUAUAAAUCUCUUUUUUUGAAGAGACAACCCUAGCUGGGCAGUGGUGGCGGCACAGGCCUUUAAUCCCAGUACUCAAGAGGCAGAGGCAGGUGGAUCUGAGUUAAAGGUCACCCUGGUCUACUGAGUGAAUUUUAGGACAGGGCUGUACAGAGAAACCCUGUCUCGAAAUGGGGGGAAAAAAGAGAUACCACUGUGUAUUUCACAUCCCUGGUUUCUUUAGAGCAGAGGUUCUCAACCUGUGGGUUGUGACCCCUUUGAAGGUUGUGAGUAAGAAUUCUGCAUAUCAGAUAUUUACAUUAUGAUUCAUAACAGUACCAAAACUGCAGUCAUGAAGAAACAAUAAAAAUAAUUUUAUGGUUGGGAGUCACCACAACAUAAGGAAUUGUAUUAAAGGGUAACAGGAAGGCAGCAGAAGUGCAUACGUUUAAUUCCAACACUUUGAUCUCCAUGAGUCUGAGGCCAGCCUGAUCUACAAAGCGAGUUCCAGGACAGGCAGGGCUACUAACAAGCAACUCUGUCAUGGGGGUUGGAGAGAUGGCAAGUGGUUAAGAGAACUUGCUGCUCUUGCAGAGGUCUUAAAUUCUGUUCCCAGCACCCACAUGACUCCAUAACUGUCCAUGACCCCAGUUUCAAGGGACCCAGCACUUUGUUUUGGUCUCCUCUAACAGCAAUUGCAAAUGGUGCUGACCCACAGGCAAGCAAAACACUCACACGCGUGCUAACCCUCUAGCAGGAAAGCUAGGGUGUGGCUCAGCAUUUGAAUACCUGCCAAGCAGAUCCAGAGUUAGAUCCUUAGCACAAAAUAAAUCAGGUGUGGAAAUGUGUGCACAGCUGUGGUGCUAAGGGACAGCCGGCGGGGUCAGGAGUCUGAGGUCAUCUUCCACUCUGAUAUAGGAGAGUUUAUCAAAAAAAAACAAACAAUAAAAAAACAUCAAGGUGGUGGCGCGUGCCUUUAAUCCCGGCACUCAGGAGGCAGAGGUGGGCAGAUCUCUGUGAGUUCGAGGCCAACCUGGGCUACAAGAGCUAGUUCCAGGACAGGCUUAAAAGCUACAUAGAAACCCUGUCUCGAAAAACCAAUCAACCAACCAACCAAACAAACAAACAAAAAACCCAUCAGGAUAUACUAUUAGAAAAGAAUAUAUUUGGUUGUAUUUGGACGGAGAGAUGGUUCAGCAGUUAAGAGCAAUUGCUGCUUUUGCAAAAACUCAAACUCCAUUCCCAGCACCCAUAUCAGAUGGCUCACGACCACCUCUACCUCUAAUGCCUCUGCCCUCUGAGGACCCCUGUACCCAUGACUACAUGCCCAUACACAGAUACAUAAAUUAAAAAUAAAAUAAAUCUGGGGCUGGAGAGAUGACUCAGAGGUGAACAGCUGCUCCCCAGAGGACCAGAGCUCGGUUCCCAGCACCCAUGAGGGCAGCUCAAACACCCUGUAACUUUAGUCCCAUGGGAUCCAAUGCCCUCUUCUGGCCCCCGCAGGUGCCACAUGCACAAGUGCCCACCCACAAACACACACUCAUACACAGAAUUUCUUUUUAAUUUAAAAUAUAUCUUAAAUUUUUUUCUUACACGUCUUUAGACCAGUCUGGCCUUGAACUCACAGAAAUAUGCCUACUGCUGCCUCGUGAGUGCUGGGAUUAAAGGUAUGCACAGCCACCACCUGGCUGUUACACAUUUUCAUAUGAAAUAAAGUAUCUUAGUUAGGGUUUCUAUUGCUGUCAAGAGACAGGAUGACCAUGGCAAAUCAUGGGAAGCAUUUAAUUGAGUGGCUUACAGUUUCAGAGCUUUAGUCCAUUACUAUGGCAGGACAUGGUGGCAUACAGGCAGACAUGGUGCUAGAGAAGGAGCUGAAUGGAGGAGUUAUAUCUUGAUCCUGCAAGCAACAGGAAGUGAACUGAGACACCGGACAAGGCUUGAGCAUAUGAGACCUCAAAACCCACCUCUACAGUAACACACUUCCUCCAACAAGGAUGCACUUCCUAAUAGUGUUACUUCCUAUGAGCUUUUGGGGACCAAUUACAUUCAAACUACCACAUAAAGUAAAAGAGAAAACGAAUAUCUGGCCAUGUGACUCCGCAGGUGUCCCUGUCCUUCCUUGCUUGUGACAGGUAACUUGUACAUGAGCACAGCUCUCUGUCAACAGUGUCGCAGCUCCGGACACUCACCCCCAGGAGCUAGAUUGCAGACAGCAGAGAUCUGGUUUAUUUUUGCUCUAUUCCCUCUGUGGAGUGGGGAGGGAUCUUCAGCAGCACAGGGAGACUGUGCUAGCGUGUGGUCCCCAGGUGCUUAGAAGAAAGUGGCUUGAAAUUGUUUUGGUGAAAUUCUCUGAAAGACACUUCUGUGUUUUGGCCAUAAUCCCUUUCUGUUUGGCCUGGGCCUUGUCUUCCAAGGUGUUCCCAGACUCCUCCAGAGUCUCUAGUAGGCCACCCAGGCAGGAGCUCGGCUGGAGGAAACUCGUUUUGUGUGUUCAGACUGUACACCUCAAACUCUGUGCAGCCCAGGGUAACCUGGAACUUGCUGUGAUCCUUCUGUCUUGGUUCUUGUCCAGACUGGUGGUUCUCACCCUUCCUAAUCCAGUUCCUCCUGUCGUGGGGACCCCAACCAUAACAUUAUUUUCGUUGCUACUUCACAACUGUAAUUUUGCUACUGUUAUGAAUUGUAAUGUAAGUACCUGCCCCCCCCCCCAAAGUCAUUCAAUCGCCAAAGGGGUCGAGGCCCAUAGGUUGAGAACCAUUGGUCGAAAGUCUUUUCCCCUGUCUUGUGGACCUGCUGAGUGACCAAUUUCCCAGGCAGAGUAGGUCUGCCAGGGAUUCUCACUGGAGACUGGAAGGUUCCAGAACCGCUUAUCCGAGUUUUCUGAGAAGUGUGAUUUUUUUUUUCUUUUGCUUUCUUUUUUUUUUUGGGGGGGGGUGUGGGCUUCAAGACAGGGUUUUUCUGUGUAAGCCUGGAUGUCCUGGAACUUGCUCUGUAGGCCAGGCGGCCUUGUGCUGGGAUUAAAGGGUUAUGUCACCACCACCCAGGGAGGAGUGUGAUUCUUCAAAGACUUAAUGAACCCUUCCCCACCCUCGCCCACGUGAACAGCAGAAGCAGGAAGGCCUGGUGUCCCAGAAUGCCAGGCUGCAAGAGUUCUCAGAGAGGAUGUUGCCUGGUGCCAUCAGGUUGCUCCUGUGGAAACCCGGGCCUGACAGGAGCUUAGGGAAUCUGAAAAGGUCAAGUGGAAAAACUUGAGCAGGUCUCCCAUCUCGGCAGUAACAAACAGGCUUAUGGUGAGUUUCACCUAACUGUCCACCCAGGGUUAUUUUUAUCUGAAUGCACUAACAGGAGUUUUCUUCCAAAAGAUUCCAGCAGGGGGCAGCCAAACAUAAGCAUAGGUCUCAAAGCUUACAAUUGUUUUACAGUAUAAGGGUACUUUAUUACAAAAGAUUUAUCUAUGUUACGAGUGUUUUGCCUGCAUGCAUGCAUGUGCACCGUGUGUGCCUGGUUGCCACAGCGGUCAGAUGAGGGGUUGGAUUCUGUGAGCCACCAUAUGAGAACUGGGAUUCAUUCUCUGGGUCCUCUGCAAGAGCAGCUAGUGUUCUUAGAUACCGAGAAAUCUCUCCAACCCCAGAUUAAAUCUUAAAAGAAGAAUUUCUGCACGACUAGGCCUAUGUUUUAUCUUAUCGACCUAUAAUCUUGUCCAAGGCUCCCCAGAAGCUGCCCUACGAUCUGAUCUCACGUAGGAAAGGAAUGGGGGCGGGGGAAGAGAAGGGAAGAGAGGAAACGAUGGUUGGGGAAAGGGGUACGGUGGCACACUCCUGUGACCCCAGCAGGGUGAAGACCAGCCUCAGCUAUGUGAGACUGUGUCUCAAAAACAAAAGGAAAAAGAAAAAAACAUGCAGGUGUGUGGCACACUCCUGUGACCCCAGCACUUGGGAAGCAGAGGAAGGGCUGUCUCUGGUUUGGAAGAAAAUGACCUUAAAGGGAGUGGCACUAUUCGGAGGUGUGGCGUUUUGGAGUAGGUGUGUCUUAUUGGAGGAAGGGUGUCACUUUGGAAGUGAACUUUGAGGUCUCAUAUAUGCUCAAGAUACCACCCAUUGAGCCACCUCCCAAAAGCUGUGUAGCUUCAGUGAACCUUCCGUUUCCUGUACACAUCCCCUGCAGCUGGAGGUGAUGCCCAGGAGAGUGCACGACUGUAGUCUGGAUGGGGCACAGUCUUGUUGGAGCCACAACUGUCCUGCUGAGGACAGAAGAGCUUGUUCAGCAACAGAAGCCGUACAGGGGUGUGCCCUGCUGGGUGUGGUCCCAGGAGUUCCUCCCUGUGCCAGCGUGUGUUGGCCGAAUGGAAUUUACUUUUCCAAUUGACCCGGAGUUGCAGUUAACUGAUUGCUUUGAGUCUCAGAAGAGGCUUUGGACUUUGAAACAGAGACUGUGAAGGAUUAUGGGGACUUUUGGAGUUGGAUUGAGAGCCUUUUUGGAUUAUGAUUUAGCUCCAAGCCUGUGGGUGCCAGGGAGUGGGAUGUGGUGGUUUGAUUAGAAUAACUCCCAUAGGCUCAGACUUUGAAUACUUGGUUCCCAGUUGGUGGACUGUUUAGGAAGGUUAGGAGGUGUGGCCUUGUUGGAGAACGUGUGUCACUGCUAGUGGGCUUUGGGGUUUCAAAAGCCUAUACUAACUAGGCCUCUCUCUAUCCUUCCAUCAUCUUGCAGACCAGAUGUAAGCUCUCAGCUUUUGCCCCAGUGCCACGCCAGCCUGCUUGCUGCCAUGAACUAGCUUUCUGAGCUGUAAGCAGACCCCAAAUUAACUGCCUUCCUUUGAAGCUGCUUUGGUCAUGGUGUCUUCUCACAGCAGUAGAAAAGUAACUAAGACAUAUAGCAUACUUACACACACACACACACACACACACAAGUGUAUCUCUUUAAAGUGGGCCUGUCCAGCCAGGCGAUGGUGGCGAAUGCCUUUAAUCCCAGCACUCGGGAGGCAGAGGCAGGUGGAUCUCUGUGAGUUGUUCAAGACCAGCCUGGUCUACAAGAGCUAGUUCCAGGACAGGCUCCAAAGCCACAGAGAAACCCUGUCUCGA